CCAGAUUUCAAGCCUAGGAAAAGUAAAUGUCUUACUGGUUGAAAUAAAAGGAAUAAAAAAGGCUACCAGUGCAAAUGGUUGUACUGCAUAUUGCUUUACAACAGCAGCUAUUGUAGCAGUCGGACUAGGUGCAAUGCAGAAGGAAUGAACUUGAGAUGAUGGCACAUGAUGGCAGUAAAUUACUGAAGAGCCCACUUGCCUCCUCUAUCAUCAAAGAGCACAAUAACUGGCUACUGCAAGAAUUUAGUCUAACCCGAAUGACAGCCACAGACAAACUGCAUUAAAUGUAGGCACACAUAAUAACGAUGCUUAAGGAAUAAAACCUGUAUCUCUGUGCA
Molecule: long non-coding RNA, 338 nt
Filed under: Zonotrichia albicollis (white-throated sparrow)
Lineage: Eukaryota; Metazoa; Chordata; Aves; Passeriformes; Passerellidae
Description: lncRNA (ENSZALG00000008641.1)
Source: RNAcentral